AGGAGAGGAAAUUCCUCAAGGGUGAGGACGGGAUGUUGGAGUCUUUGUCGCAGUCAAGCCCUAAGCGUUUGGCUUGAUUCGAAUCUGUGCCGCUUGCUGUAUCUCCUGGGCUCCGACACGAACCCUCUCCUCCUAGGAUCUUUGAGGUUCUGCAGAGGUAUUGGAUAGGGCCGCAAAAGUGAGGCUAGAAUUGGAAUUGAAUUGAAAUGCCUUAGCUUUUGAUGUUCCUGUUGUUUGAGUUGAUGCAACUGCUUUCUGUCUCUGGAUCUCAGCUUCUCCAUCUAAUACCCUAAAAGAAUGCCACUGUCAAAAGAAGAGCGUACUGAAAUAAUCCUCAUGGCUGGAUCAGGCAGCUGUCGCAAGGUUGCAAUGGACUUUAACAGGAAACAUGGCAAACACAUCACACAUGACACUGUGGCCAAACUCAUUGAGAAGUUCAAGAAAACUGGAAGUGUCGCGGAUCAACAGAGAAGUGGACGUCCACGGACAUCCACUGACAAAGACACAGCUGUCCAGGUCCUGGCAGCAUUUGCAAGGAGUCCGCAAAAAAGCAUUCGCCAGUUAUCUGCAGAAACCGGUGUCAGCAGGUCGAGUAUCCAGCGCAUUAUGAAAAACGAAAAACAGCAUCUGUACAAGAUGCAAAUGUUACGCCAUCUUAGUGAAGAUGGCCCAGAUAAGAGGCUUGAAUUUUAUGAAUGGGCUCUAAACAAACCAGACAAAGAUGUAAACGUCACAGCUGAGAUCCUCUUUACUGAGGAAGCCAAUUUUUAGGCCAGCAGAGAAGUCAGUCCCCAAACCUGCAUUACUGGAAUAAUAGCAACCCAAACUGGAUGAGUCCAUCAAAAAUGCGAGGUGCUACAAAAGUGAUGGUGUGAGGCAGGAUAUGGGGCAACAGAACUGUUGGACCUGUUUCCUUUGACACACAUCUUACUGCCGACCUUUCCUUAAACAUGCCCCAGGACAACAUACUGCUGUCUCCCUUAAAUGAAGAUGGAGAGUGUCCGUCUUAUUUGCAGCACAAUAGGGCACCACCUCAUUAUGAUACCCCGUGUCAGUGCACUGCAGUGGUGGGAUCAGCAGGUUCCACUGUCAUGGACAGGUCGCCGCAGCCCCGUGGAGUAACCACUUAACAGUGUGAUUUUCAAGGAAAAGAUUAGAAACAUGGAUCAUGUGAACAAGGAAUGCAUUCGAAAUGCAGAUGCUUGCCUAACAACAGAUAGUCUUGGAACGUGUUCGCCAUGAGUGGGAGAGAAGAUUGCAUGUGUUUGCAAAAAGAAUGGCCAACACGGAGAGAAUAUUUUGUAAAUACAGCAGAACCUCCAUAGUUGAACACCUCCCUAGAUUGACCCCGUCCUUAAGGUGACCUAAUUUUCAUAGAUGGGACAUGCACCACAUGUACGUAUCAAGAUGUUGACCAGUUUGUUGCAGUCCCUUUGGUGGUCAACUACCAGAGGCUCUACAGUAUUUUGUAAUGAGUAUUUUGUAAAUAAAGGCACAUUUAGCUACAA
Molecule: long non-coding RNA, 1508 nt
Organism: Otolemur garnettii (small-eared galago)
Lineage: Eukaryota; Metazoa; Chordata; Mammalia; Primates; Galagidae
Exons: 2
Source: RefSeq, a predicted model, not a curated record